RNAcentral lists this long non-coding RNA (453 nucleotides) under Androctonus crassicauda. Lineage: Eukaryota; Metazoa; Arthropoda; Arachnida; Scorpiones; Buthidae. The record is from RNAcentral.
GGUUGUCGACUUCGGACUCGGAAACAAACGAUCGACCGCAUCUGAGAAAAGAAAGGCUAUCCCAGACAUUUCAUCUCAGCAUUGUGUGUGUGUUUGGACUAAAAACUGUGCCGCCGUAAAAACGGAUUAAAGAUUGUUAAUCGAUGGGCUCUAAACUACUAUGCAUUGACAACUGAUACCAAAAGGGAUCGUUCUUCAGAUAUUAUUAUACAGAAGACAGGAAUGACAGAAACUGUAAGAAAUCUCGUAAUUACGCCAAAAAUAUCAGAAAAUGAAGUAGAGCAUUUAGAAAAGUCUUCAACGAAAGGCGAACCCAAUCUAUCUGAAACUUUUAACAGCAGACCUGCUCAAACUAAAAUUAAUUGGCACUUUGUUAUUAUGUUCGCUACUAUUCAUAUAUUUGGACUGGCUGGAAUUUUUAUGUUUGAUUCUCUAAAGUUUUUCAUGUAUGUA